AUGAGGUCACACACUCUGCUCAUCUCUGUGCUAGUUUUCUUUGUGAAGGAUGCCAGUGGAGACAUUGUGCUGACUCAGACUCCAGAAUCCCUGUUGGUGUCUCCAGGAGACAGAGUCACCAUCAACUGCAAAGCCAGCACAAGCAUCAGCAGCUACAUAGCCUGGUACCAACAGAAAUCAGGACAAGCCCCUAAGCUCCUGUUCUAUGGUACUUCCUCCCGUCCCUCUGGGGUCCCAGACCGGUUCACUGGCAGUGGGUCUGGCACUGAUUUCACUUUGACAAUCACUAGUUUUCAAGCUGAUGAUGCUGGCAGUUAUUAUUGUCAACAGUACUAUGACUGGCCUCUCACACAGUGA
Molecule: non-coding RNA, 357 nt
Organism: Terrapene triunguis (Three-toed box turtle)
Lineage: Eukaryota; Metazoa; Chordata; Testudines; Emydidae
Source: the annotation of a RefSeq genome assembly